Molecule: non-coding RNA, 2291 nt
Organism: Peromyscus maniculatus bairdii (prairie deer mouse)
Lineage: Eukaryota; Metazoa; Chordata; Mammalia; Rodentia; Cricetidae
Source: RefSeq, a predicted model, not a curated record
CUGAUGCUUGAGGUCAUCCGGGCCUCGGCUCAGGAAGGUCACCCGUGGGACCUGACCCCGGAGCCUCCGGUCUGUGUCCCCAUCUAAGAUGUAAUCCAGGGCUGUGGCAUGGAGGGAGAAGAGCGAAGUCGGGCAAAUGGAGGCUCUUGAGCAAGCAAGACCCCAAACCCCCUUCUGCCACAGCCCAGACCCACACUAAGGAAGAGAGGCAGAGGAAGCAAGUGCGGCGUCCUCCCCCGCUCCCCCUUCUCGUCUCUCCUCACCAGACCAAGCGUCCAUCAGCGCAGUUGGGCUGCUCCAGGUCGAUGGCUCUCGGGGCAAUGAAGAUCUCUUGGGAGACGUGAAGAACAGGUCUGGCCCUGGGCACGGAGAGUUCAUUGGGUAGGGAAGGAGAGGCUGUGAGGUUAGGCGCCCUCCGCAGGUUCCUAGUGAGACGGGAAUGAAGUCGGAGCUACAGGAGGGUCGGACAGCCCGGCGGCCUACCUAAAGAGCGCAGCAGUAUCAGCCAGGGAGCCCACGAGCAGGUCGGGGUAGUCGUUUCCGUCCACAUCCAGGCCACCGGACAGGGAGUAACCAAAGCUCUUGAUGCUCACAGCCUCACCCUCCAGCACCUGGAGACCAAAGAGUCAGCCUCCUCGAACCCCAGUUUUCCCAAGCCCCCCUCCCCUGCCCCCAGCAGCCCUUACUCCCCCCAGGAUCAUCCCCUCACAUCCACGACUCCCCUCACCUGUGAAGGUUUGACAACCACCCCCAGGCUGCUUCCGUGGUAGAUAAAGACUUUCCCAUCUCCAUCAAAGGGCGCUCCCACGGCAAUAUCUGGGGGGCAUGAGAAGAAGCAUCAUGGGGCUGUGGAGGAGGAUGGACAAGGGCCAUACCCAGUUUCCCUCGUCCAAGUCCUGCAGGAUACGUUUCCAGUUGCAUUGAGGAACUGCACACAUCAUUUUUCAAUCCUCGUGGCCGCUCCCUCCAGAUAUCACUAGCUCAGCUUGGCUGAGUCAUAGUGGAAAUCCACUCCACCCCUCCCCGCACUGAGCUUUCCCAAUCCCAGUCACACCUGGGAAGCCAUCUUGGUUGAGGUCCCCUAAGACAGCCAAGCUGAUUCCAAACAUGGAGUCGGGGGAGCCACAGAUCCGGAGAGGAGGGACAUCUGCCCAGUGGCCACCCUGGUUCAUGUACACAUACACAGCACCUCCCAGCUCUUCUUGGCGCUCAAAGAAGUAAGGGGCACCCACAAUCAGGUCUGGCCAGCUGUGGAAGAGAGAGACAGUAUGGGGCCCUCUAGACCAAGGGAGUCGGGACGAAGUGCAGAAGCCACUCCUGGACCCAGGGGCACACCCCUCUCGUUUCCUCUCACCCGUCAUUGUUGAGAUCAGCCACAGCCAGCGAGUAGCCAAAGCCGGAGGUCAAGCGCUCCCCAGACAAGACAACCUCGGGUAUCAGGCGGCUGGCGCUAUCCUUGCGCAGAAUGACCACGGCCCCCUUGUGGUUGGCACGGGGAGCCCCAGCCACAAAACUCAGCUCUUCUGCACGCAAGAGACCCUUCCCAGAGUCGAUGGAGAAACCUGGGUGAGGAGAUCGGUUACUAUGAGUGAUUUCCCAAGAGCCGGAAGCCAGGGCCUAGAAAUCCUGACAGCCCUCCUGGUCGGACACACGGGAUGUGACAUAGACUGGGUGGCUUGGUAAGAGGGCCUGGGCCGCAGCAACGGGAGCUGGGCCAGGGCUACCACCAUUCAUGCCCAGCCUGGGGAACUGGAGAGUGAGGGACGUCCUUUCACACCCCGGAGGCCCCUUGACAUCCAAUGCACCUUCUUUACCCCCAUCAUCCCUACCCUGCCAGGGAGAAAGUCUUUACAUAUAUGGGAAGAAGACAUGGCCACAAGGAAGAGCUUGCCUCACCCACAUGUUUCCUGGACCACAUUUCAUCCUUGUUCGUAUGCAGAAGAGGAGAUGAACAGCUACGAGGGGACUCACCCACAAGGCUAGAGCUCCCUCCAACAUCAGCCCAUCACCCACCCCCAGAGGAAGUUCCCUAGAGGUCAAGACUGUCCUUCCAAGCAGGGUUAACCCUGGGCCCCUCACACCAUCUGGGUAUUCCUCCAUGAAGGCCCGUGGCUCGCCGCCCUCAGGCCUGUCAAUUGUACCUAAUCCUCCCCUGCAGUUUGGGCCCAGCAUGUAUUUCCCUGGGCAUAUAUAUUGGGGGAGAGCCGGGAAGGAAAGGACACUCCCUGGGAGAGAAGCGGGAAGGCCAGGGCCACACCCCAGGGCCCAGGACGCAGGAGCUUACAAACCUA